UACGAGGGGGGCUAGCGUUGCUCGGAAUCACUGGGCGUAAAGCGCACGUAGGCGGAUUGCUAAGUCAGGGGUGAAAUCCUGGAGCUCAACUCCAGAACUGCCUUUGAUACUGGCGACCUUGAGUCCGGGAGAGGUGAGUGGAACUGCGAGUGUAGAGGUGAAAUUCGUAGAUAUUCGCAAGAACACCAGUGGCGAAGGCGGCUCACUGGCCCGGUACUGACGCUGAGGUGCGAAAGCGUGGGGAGCAAACAGG
Molecule: ribosomal RNA, 253 nt
Filed under: uncultured bacterium
Lineage: Bacteria
Description: partial 16S ribosomal RNA
Rfam family: Bacterial small subunit ribosomal RNA
Source: RNAcentral